AAAUGCGAUAAGUAAUGUGAAUUGCAGAAUUCAGUGAAUCAUCGAAUCUUUGAACGCACAUUGCGCCCGCCAGUAUUCUGGCGGGCAUGCCUGUUCGAGCGUCAUUACAACCCUCAGGCCCCCGGGCCUGGCGUUGGGGAUCGGCGGAAGCCCCCUGCGGGCACAACGCCGUCCCCCAAAUACAGUGGCGGUCCCGCCGCAGCUUCCAUUGCGUAAUAGCUAACACCUCGCAACUGGAGAGCGGCGCGGCCACGCCGUAAAACACCCAACUUCUGAAUGUUGACCUCGAAUCAGGUAGGAAUACCCGCUGAACUUAAGC
Molecule: unclassified non-coding RNA, 319 nt
Filed under: plant metagenome
Description: partial contains 5.8S ribosomal RNA, internal transcribed spacer 2, and large subunit ribosomal RNA
Rfam family: 5.8S ribosomal RNA (bases 1-104)
Source: RNAcentral